RNAcentral lists this ribosomal RNA (373 nucleotides) under uncultured organism. RNAcentral's name for it is "partial 16S ribosomal RNA". It matches the Rfam family "Bacterial small subunit ribosomal RNA", at positions 527 to 896 of the family's 1533-position model. The record is from RNAcentral.
GUAGGUGGCAAGCGUUGUCCGGAAUUAUUGGGCGUAAAGCGCGCGCAGGGCGGUCCUUUAAGUCUGAUGUGAAAGCCCGCGGCUCAACCGUGGAGGGUCAUUGGAAACUGGGGGACUUGAGUACAGAAGAGGAAAGCGGAAUUCCAAGUGUAGCGGUGAAAUGCGUAGAGAUUUGGAGGAACACCAGUGGCGAAGGCGGCUUUCUGGUCUGUAACUGACGCUGAGGCGCGAAAGCGUGGGGAGCAAACAGGAUUAGAUACCCUGGUAGUCCACGCCGUAAACGAUGAGUGCUAAGUGUUAGGGGGUUUCCGCCCCUUAGUGCUGCAGCUAACGCAUUAAGCACUCCACCUGGGGAGUACGGCCGCAAAGGCUG